Arachis stenosperma is the source of this 2534-nucleotide long non-coding RNA. RefSeq lists it as uncharacterized. The transcript has 3 exons. The record is from RefSeq and is a predicted model, not a curated record. NCBI's taxonomy places the organism in Eukaryota, Viridiplantae, Streptophyta, Magnoliopsida, Fabales, Fabaceae.
UGUUUUCGCAGUUUUGUUGCUCACUGCUUCACCGCCACGGCCAUCGUGGCCCCAAACAUUCUUUCCCAACUGAAGUGCUUCCAACUUGUGCGUUCUUCUCUUUUUUUAGGUUGUUCUCAAACUUCUUCAGCCGGCGGAUCUUAUCAUUCAAUUGUAUGCAUGAUACAUUUGCCCGAAUCAAAUUUGACCCCUUCAUAAAAUCGUAAAAUUCAUCAACGUAUUUAUAGGGUUCCUUCCUGUUUUCGCGAUGAAGGGGUCGAAUUUGAUUCGGGCAAAUGUAUCAGAGUAAAUACCCAUAGUCAUUCCUGAGAUUCACGCAAAUAUCCAUAGUAAUUUCUAAGAUUCCGAUUUAUCCCUAAAUCCCCAAAUUCUCGGACACUUUAUUUCUUCUUCUUGUUCAUCUCUUUUUCUUCUUUCAAGCAUGUCACGUAAAACAUAAAUUGUCUGGCUUCUAUAUACCAUCAAGCAUAAAUUGUCUGGCUUGUAUAUAUCAUCAAGCAUCAAGGAGCCGACGGCGUGAUCCUCCUGUGCCUUCUUCCUACGUUUUGGUUGGUUCCUGUUGUCGAUACUGUUUUCGGCUGCGCGCUUUGACCCGGAUUUGGUUUGACUCACAGAAGCCGAAGGUUGAGACUUCAACUUUGGAGAGGGUUUAGAAGAAGAUGACGAGGGUUUGGAAACCUUUUGCGGUUGAGGCUUCCUGGAACCAGCACGUGUUUCCUCACGUUCAUCUUCGCCUUCGUCUGUGUCUUCGUCCUCCUCAGAUGAAGUUGCUGCUUCUUCUUCCUCGCUGCUAUUUUCUUGUUUGGGCUGAGGCCUGGGAACCUGCGAUUCGUCGUCAGAGUCUUCAGGAGCGACUUGCUUCUGCUUCGCCAUGGAAACUCCGAAAUUCAGGAGGGAAAAAGUGAAUUUAGGAUUAGGGUUUGUCUUAGUUCACUCUCUGGACAGUGAGAGAGGAUCCGCAGAAAUCACGUGACGAGUUCAAAUCCAGAUAAAUAUUUAGUACAUCUUUAUCAAAGACUUGCGCCGCAAAAGAAUGAGUCAGGUUUGUAGCUUCUUUUCCAAAUCUGUGAAUCCAAUUCUUUUCCGUGCUAAGUUAGCUCGUAAGAUUGAGAAUAUUCAAAAGGAGUUUAAUAAUGUCGCUGAAGAGAUGUCUAAGUUGAACCUGAAUCGGAGUUCGGUAAUUCUUAAGCAAGAUGAGUGUGGCUGGAGGGAAACAAGUUCGUCCGUUUUGCAAUCAGAGAUAAUUGGAAGGGAAGAGAAUAAAAGUGACAUUGUUAACUUGCUGAAGCAAACCCAUCCGAACCAAAAUGUUUCUUUAAUUGUUGUUGUUGGUAUGGGGGUUUAGGCAAGACAGCCCUUGCUCAGCUCGUGUACAAUGCUGCUAAAGACCAGAACCUCUUUCAGAAAUAUAUAUGGCUGUGCGUUUUAGAAAAUUUCGAGGUGAAAACUGUUUUGAAGAAGAUCCUGGAGUCUUUGAAGAAGGAUGCUGGUGGUGUGACUCAUUAGGGCCCUACAACAGAAGUUGCGAGAAGCAUUGAAUGGGCAAAAUUAUAUGCUUGUGCUCGAUGACGUGUGGAAUGAAGAUCAUUUAAAGUGGAAUGAUUUAAGAUCGAGUUGAGUUGUAUUGCUCUUGAAUUACUUGGAUAUGUAUUGCUCUUGAAUUAUUUGUGGAUUCUUACGAAUAGUUGUCCUACUUUUUGAUUAUCGGUUUUUAUUCUGGUUUGCAUUGUAGAUUAUUUCCAGAAGAUGUAUCAGAGAUGGAUUGAGAUAAAUGUUGUUGGUAUUGAACUACUUGUUCUGCUUUUGGUGUGGAACACCUCUGAUGUCAUCACCUCUCUUAAUUUAGUUGGAGCUCCCUUCCAGUCUUUGCAAUAUUUGCCGAGAAAGAAAAAGUUCUUGGGCAAAUGACAUAUAACUCGCUAUCCAAUAGAGCACCAGUUCUUAGAAGAUUAUUGUGUUUGGAUUCUCAUAUUGCCUCUUCAUUUUCCUUGUUUAUAAUUAAAUUUGCCGUUCAAGCAAGAGCAUUAUCUGGCUUCAUGUGAUAACGAUUACGUGACUAGUUGGAUCCAUAUAUGGUUUUGUGGCGUCUCCCCCUCCUGAUGGCCAUGCCGAAGGGAGCGGGUAGAGUUGCUGGCUUGGUUAUUUCAAGGCACAGUGGAGAUUUCUUUAUUUCUUGCUUCAUGUGAAAGAUUUUCCUACAUUUGAUUUCAGGUUGGUGAUUAUGUAAUAUGGUUGUGGCUAUUAGAGACGCAACAUGGUAAUAAGAGGUUGGGUAUGAAUUGGCAUGUGUGUUCAUUGAGAUAGGCUUAUUGUACGGGAAUUUAUUGUUCAAACUUCCCAUUUUUGUGUAUGUUGUUCUAUGAUCUGUGAUGUGAUAUCAUAAACUUUGAUGUAUCACCUACUGCGUUUCUCUUUUGUUUUGGAAGCACACUUUAUCUAUCGAAAACGAGGAUUAUCACAAUUCAAAGCUCUAUUAGUACUGCUCUUAUUGUAACAUACACUCAUUUUCAUUGAAUGAAUUUAAUAAUUCCUGA